GAGUUUGAUUCUGGCUCAGAUUGAACGCUGGCGGCAUGCUUUACACAUGCAAGUCGGACGGCAGCACAGAGAAGCUUGCUUCUUGGGUGGCGAGUGGCGAACGGGUGAGUAAUGCAUCGGAACGUACCGAGUAGUGGGGGAUAACUGUCCGAAAGGAUGGCUAAUACCGCAUACGCUUUGAGAAGGAAAGCAGGGGCUCUUCGGACCUUGCGCUAUUCGAGCGGCCGAUGUCUGAUUAGCUAGUUGGUGGGGUAAAGGCCUACCAAGGCGACGAUCAGUAGCGGGUCUGAGAGGAUGAUCCGCCACACUGGGACUGAGACACGGCCCAGACUCCUACGGGAGGCAGCAGUGGGGAAUUUUGGACAAUGGGCGCAAGCCUGAUCCAGCCAUGCCGCGUGUCUGAAGAAGGCCUUCGGGUUGUAAAGGACUUUUGUCAGGGAAGAAAAGGUUGUGGUUAAUACCCAUGACUGAUGA
This 474-nucleotide ribosomal RNA is filed under the name Neisseria zoodegmatis. RNAcentral's name for it is "bacterial SSU rRNA". It matches the Rfam family "Bacterial small subunit ribosomal RNA", at positions 9 to 478 of the family's 1533-position model. Lineage: Bacteria; Pseudomonadati; Pseudomonadota; Betaproteobacteria; Neisseriales; Neisseriaceae. The record is from RNAcentral.